UUAAACCGCUCCCGGGAACGCUCGGCAUUCCUCUCCUCCCGCGCCGCCCCCUCGGGAGAAACCACGGCCGGAUCCAGCCGUUCUCCGGCGGCGUGUUCCCUGUGCCCGGAGCCCCGCCGGUGGCGACCCCUGCCCUGUGCAGCGGCGCAGCCCCCGCACGGCGACCGGGCCGCGGCGGGGUCCGUGCGGGGCUCGGCCGGGCCGGGCCCGACCCUGCGGGACCGCGAGCCAGGGGCCCCCCUGCCCUGCACGCCCGCGGCUGGUCAGCUUGAGAAGAGGAAAGGAGUGGCAGGUCAUUCCCUAGCACAGAUAUGCAGUGCUUGAUGGCAGAGGGGAGCAGCAAGAGAUCUUAUUACUGACUGUCAAAGAAUUUGGAUUGACUUGCACGAGUCUCUCUACUGGUCCUGUCAACUGCAAGUCAAGCAGAAAAUGAAUCUACAGCUCUAAGCAGCAUACUGGGAGUUAUUAAUAAACAUCAGGCUGCUGCUAAGAAAAUGAACUUAAAUGAAAUAUCAUUAGGAGCUGAGUCAUUCCACCAACACUUCUGCAUGUUGUUUCCAGCUGCAGCCUGGAGAGAGACCUGGGCAAUUCCACUGUGUUUCAUUCUGGCUCUGGUAGGAACUGGCAGCGUUCACAGGCAGAAGAUGGACUCUUGUCACCUCCACUAGAACAGAGACCUUCUCAGGCCCAGGCAGCAGAGACAUUUUCAAAUUGAAGUUGCUUUUCCUGACUGCAUAGCUCCAGGAACAGUUCUAUACAAAAGCAGCAGUACUAGGAGGAUCUUAUUUUUCAGGAUUAUUCUGUGAAGGAAUACUUGAGGGUUUGGUAGGUUUUGGGAGAGAAAACAUGGAAAAUGUAUGACUGUUGCAUUGUCAUGCCCAACUGAAUUGCUUAAUUCUGCUCUGAAAAAUAGUAUGUCAAAUAUCAAUUACAAUUUUGUUUUGCCUUUUCCUUCUGAUAAGGAGUGUAUGCACUGUUUAUUCAGGAGUUAGGGUUCAUGUGCCAUUUGCCAAUAAAUUUUAACCUUUGAGAUACUUUAUC
This is a long non-coding RNA of Pseudopipra pipra, 1041 nucleotides long. RefSeq lists it as uncharacterized. Lineage: Eukaryota; Metazoa; Chordata; Aves; Passeriformes; Pipridae. The record is from RefSeq and is a predicted model, not a curated record. The transcript is spliced from 4 exons.